Molecule: long non-coding RNA, 129 nt
Organism: Amblyraja radiata (thorny skate)
Lineage: Eukaryota; Metazoa; Chordata; Chondrichthyes; Rajiformes; Rajidae
Exons: 3
Source: RefSeq, a predicted model, not a curated record
GAAGCUCAUCUUCCAUGUGUUUUGCCAUCAUUCCAAGGACUUGAGGUUUUCUUGUAAGGAGUUCAUAUCCUCUACAUCAGUGACAGGUGUAUAUACAAGACAAUCAUCUGCGAAGAUUGUGCAGCCGUU